Molecule: ribosomal RNA, 440 nt
Filed under: uncultured bacterium
Lineage: Bacteria
Description: partial 16S ribosomal RNA
Rfam family: Bacterial small subunit ribosomal RNA
Source: RNAcentral
CCUACGGGAGACAGCAGUGGGGAAUAUUGCACAAUGGGGGGAACCCUGAUGCAGCGACGCCGCGUGGGUGAUGAAGUACUUCGGUAUGUAAAGCCCUAUCAGCAGGGAAGAAAAUGACGGUACCUGACUAAGAAGCCCCGGCUAACCACGUGCCAGCAGCCGCGGUAAUCCGUAGGGGGCAAGCGUUAUCCGGAUUUACUGGGUGUAAAGGGGGCGUAGACGGCGUGCCAAGUCUGGUGUGAAAGGCAGGGGCUCAACCCCGGGACUGCAUUGGAAACUGGCAUGCUGGAGUGCCGGAGGGGCAAGCGGAAUGCCUAGUGUAGCGGUGAAAUGCGUAGAUAUUAGGAGGAACACCGGUGGCGAAGGCGGCUUGCUGGACGGUAACUGACGUUGAGGCUCGAAAGCGUGGGGAGCAAACAGGAUUAGAUACCCUGGUAGUC